GGUGGCUCAGUGGUAGAGUGCUUGCCUUGCAUGCAUGAGGAGCUGGUUCGAUUCCUUAGCACCA
RNAcentral lists this transfer RNA (64 nucleotides) under Dipodomys ordii (Ord's kangaroo rat). It matches the Rfam family "tRNA". Rfam says of the family: Transfer RNA (tRNA) molecules are approximately 80 nucleotides in length. Their secondary structure includes four short double-helical elements and three loops (D, anti-codon, and T loops). Lineage: Eukaryota; Metazoa; Chordata; Mammalia; Rodentia; Heteromyidae. The record is from Rfam by way of RNAcentral.